Molecule: transfer RNA, 65 nt
Filed under: Hydrophilidae sp. BMNH 1274338
Lineage: Eukaryota; Metazoa; Arthropoda; Insecta; Coleoptera; Hydrophilidae
Description: tRNA-Asp
Rfam family: tRNA
About the family: Transfer RNA (tRNA) molecules are approximately 80 nucleotides in length. Their secondary structure includes four short double-helical elements and three loops (D, anti-codon, and T loops).
Source: RNAcentral
GAAAAUUUAGUUUAAAUAAAACAUUAGUUUGUCAUACUAAAAUUAUUAAAUUUUAAUAAUUUUCA